AAGAGAAAACCUGCCACGGAGCCCGGGCUUCUCUGAUCCUCCCGCCAAACUUUGUCUCUCAUUUAGCUUUCUUUGUGUCUGAGGAUUUAGCAAAGGCCUCAGGAGUAUUUUUCACAGAUGACUACACUCAGCUUGCUGACACAUUCUCUGGAUUUACCAAGUGAAAUUGCACAGUGUCAGGAAUGAUUUGCCAAUGUCUUCAGAUUCAACAGAGUUGGAUUGCUGAGAAUAAAAUUACGGAUUUCUCCAUAAUGGACACACGCACUUUUUGUUUGUGCUGUUUCCUUUAGAAUGGACGAUGAGUCAAAAUUGUUCGUUUAUGCUUCUUCACAGAAGGAUCUUCUGUGUCGUAGGAGGUGGCCUGCAGCAAUCUGGACAUUCAGUGGUCCUCCUGUGAUUAAUAGGUGAACGGAUGAGCUAUUCUGAUAAGAACUGGGGAACUUUUGCCAUUCAAAAGCAAAUAGAAGAACUGGGAGAUUCCUCAACUUAGCUUUUCUUUUUUUUGGUUCUAAAGUGACUGCGAAUGGAGGUAGAAGAGAAGAAAAGCUUUCAAAAACAUCUUCCAUUAAGAAAAAUAUGUAUCUUCAUGAAGACCUAUCUGAGUAAAAUUACUAAAACAUAAUGGCUUUCUUGAAAUAGAAUGGAAUGAAAGGCAUAUUAGGGAGUAUGAAAGUAUGAAGAUUUUAUUAACAUACUUCUAGAAGUUUAUUAAAUAUCUGCACAGGAACUGUAAUUUGAGAUCAGUGGUGGAAAGAGAAUAAAGGAAUCACGUGGACAUCAGCUCUGAGGCCUGUGGCCCCACUUGCUUCUGGGCUUUCUAUAGACAUUUGCUGGUGACCUGCCCAGGCAGGCUAGAGUACCCUUCCUCAUUGCACCCUGUGUUCCCAUCCUCUUUUCCUUCCUUCCUUCCUUCCUUCCUUCCUUCCUUCCUUUCUUCCUCCAUCCCUUAUGAAACCCUCGUUGUGCAGUUACUUAUUAGGUGCUGUGUGAGCGUCUGAAGUCUCCCCUCACCCACUUUUCCAUUUGGGCCACUUGGCCAGUGAUUGCAUCAGUACCAGGGUUCUAGGAGCCAUGCAGGGAUCCCCAGUGGGCAGAGCUGGCCGUAGCAUUUGGAAAGGAAGAGAGAGAACUGGAGACAAUGCCUAGGAACAAAAGCAGAGUCCAGACCCAGGCAUCAAGUGCAAAUCCAAAGGCUCUGGAUGAGUCAGUUCCCAGCAAAGGGACACAAGUAGGCACAGAAGGAAGGACAGCAGAAAACACUGGUCCAGAGAGGGCCUGCAGAGCCAGAAGCGAUGACGCAUCCAAGGUUGUGUUUGACUUCUGCACUGCCUCUGCAACCUGUAAGCACAUCUGAGCCAGUUCAGAAAGUAGGAAAACCAAAGUAUAUCAGAAAUGGCCUCUUAUCAUCAAGGAGAUUUUGGUCUAGAUUGCUUAUUGCUCAGGAGAAAUCACCACUUUUUAAAAAGAUAUGCUGAGAUAGGGUUUAGUUGGGAUAGAAAAGGUUAUUAAACUACGGGACACCCUUCCUUUACAGAGUGUAAGCACUACUACCCCUUUUGUUUGUCUGUUUUUCUUAUUUUUCUCACAGAUGCAGUUCCUGCAUUAGUAUUGAUAAAUGUGUGGCUGCUCCACUUGGAGUGUUUUCAAAGCAUAAAUCACAGCAUUGAUGGUGCUGUGGUUUGGCUCUUCCAGCCCUCUUAACAACGGUCUGAUGGACUUGGCGAGAGUCUAGCCACGUGUUCUGGCCUCUGUCACUCUCAUGGCUGAAACGCAUGCACACCCACAGAUGGGGGCCCCGUGGUAGAGAUGUGCCUCUACUUGUCAAAUAGACUGACUCCAAAUUCGGAAAUAUGCCUCAGGAAUCUAGAAAGAUAGAAAAGGAGUCUUCGUCACUGUAGGGUCUCAUUCACAAUAUGGAGGAGAGAUGGAGGGGAGUUUUUGGUAUAAAUUUUGCCUCAUAAAAAUUCUCCACGUUGUUUUGUACUGUAUGAGGGUAGCGAGAAAUUAGUUGAUGGUUAACAAUCAAGCUGGAGAAGAAUAUCCUCAAUUUUUCACAUGGAAAAUGAAAAACUACAACUCCUUCCAAAUAUAUGUAUGUUUCUUUUCUGAAGAUAGACGUGUGUGUGUUUGUGUGUAUCAUAUAACAUUUAUUUUUUGAUUUCUUUGUUAUCAACAGUAAAAAUACAGAAAAUGAUGCCAAAGAGAA
RNAcentral lists this long non-coding RNA (2206 nucleotides) under Homo sapiens (human). RNAcentral describes it as "long intergenic non-protein coding RNA 540". Lineage: Eukaryota; Metazoa; Chordata; Mammalia; Primates; Hominidae. The record is from RNAcentral.